Enhydra lutris kenyoni (northern sea otter) is the source of this 1352-nucleotide non-coding RNA. NCBI's taxonomy places the organism in Eukaryota, Metazoa, Chordata, Mammalia, Carnivora, Mustelidae. The record is from the annotation of a RefSeq genome assembly.
AUGGAGAAACUCCUGGAAGUGUCUUUGCUGAUACUAUGGCUUCAACUGCCCACGGUGAACAGCCAGCAGGAACAGCAUCAUCAGGUCCUGAGCAUCCAGGAGGGUGAAAAUGCCACCAUGAACUGCAGUUAUAAAACUUCGAUAAGCAACUUACAGUGGUAUAGACAAGACUCGGGUCAAGGCUUUGUCCAGCUGAUUUUAAUACGUUCAAAUGAAAGAGAGAAACACAGCGGAAGGCUACGGUUCACCCUAGACAACUCCAUCAAAAGCAGUUCUUUGUCCAUCAUUGCUUCCCAGACUGCAGACUCUGCUACUUACAUCUGUGCCACAGGACACAAUGGAGGCUAUAAUGCGGUCUUCAAAAUUGGGACAGGAACAAGACUAUUUGUUAAAGCAAAUAUCACAGACCCUGACCCCGCGGUGUACCAACUGAGAAGCCCUAAAUCCAGUAAGAUCUCUGUCUGCCUGUUCACCGAUUUUGAUUCUGAAACCAAUGAGCAGCAAGCCCCAGAGUCCACGAUGACCAGGCUAAACAGUACCGUGCUGGACAUGUGGUCGAUGAAUUCCAAGAGCAAUGGCGCCCUGGCCUGGAGCACCAGCACUGAUUUUAAAUGCAAUGAGACCUUCGACGAGAAAUUCUACUCCAGCUCAGACUUUUCCUGUGAUGCCACUUUGAUAGAGAAAAGCUUUGAAACAGAUAUGAACCUAAACUUCCAAAACCUGCUCAUGAUCGGGCUGCGUGUCGUCCUCCUGAAAGUGGCUGGGUUUAACCUGUUCAUGACGCUGCGGCUGUGGUCGCGCUGAGGUCACCAAGAACAUGAGAGCACCUGACGCUCCCUCGCUCCUGGCUCCCCACCGUACCUCUUGCCCCUCUUCAAGCAGAGAGGCAGACUGUCUGCUCCCCUGAACAGAUAAGAAGCUCCCUCUGCCUCUCUGGCCCCACUGGCAAUGGCCACCAGCUGCAUCCCACCAGAUACUCACCAUCAAGGUGCUGAAGAGCUGCCAAACCCUGCCUCUGCCCCCUCGGUUCCCUCACUGCUGCUUGUCACCACUUGACGCUCACAGCAAAGUCAGGGGGCAGCAGCGGAGAGACUCCCUGUCCCUCCCGAGACUGCCUCUUACAUCCCCUGUCCCCUAUCCUCUGGGAGAGGAACCCCCAGUAGGUCCUCCUGGGCUCUAGCUCCCAGAGAAGGUUGUGAGGAGUCCAUUUUUUUAAAUAAUGUUCAUAAAUAUGUGUACCCUUUACCCCAAGAUGUGGGGGAAAUUAUUACGGAGACCCUGCUAUGCUGUGUAUCUGAGCCGCGUUGUAUAUCCUGCUACCCAUGACUUCAUUAAAGGCAAUUUGGAAGAGC